GAAUUCGCCCUUAGAGUUUGAUUCUGGCUCAGGACGAACGCUGGCGGCGCGCCUAACACAUGCAAGUCGAACGGGACUAUGCUGGAAGAAGUUUUCGGAUGGAUUUUGGUAUAGUUUAGUGGCGGACGGGUGAGUAACACGUGAGCAACCUGCCUUCGAGAGGGGAAUAACGGCUGGAAACGGUCGCUAAUACCGCAUAAUAUACAGGAGGGACAUCCCUUUUGUAUCAAAGAUUUAUCGCUCGAAGAUGGGCUCGCGUCCGAUUAGGUAGUUGGUGAGGUAACGGCCCACCAAGCCGACGAUCGGUAGCCGGACUGAGAGGUUGAACGGCCACAUUGGGACUGAGACACGGCCCAGACUCCUACGGGAGGCAGCAGUGGGGGAUAUUGCACAAUGGGGGAAACCCUGAUGCAGCGACGCCGCGUGUGGGAAGACGGUCCUCUGGAUUGUAAACCACUGUCCCCAGGGACGAAGAUGACGGUACCUGGGGAGGAAGCUCCGGCUAACUACGUGCCAGCAGCCGCGGUAAUACGUAGGGAGCAAGCGUUGUCCGGAAUUACUGGGCGUAAAGGGAGCGUAGGCGGGAUGGCAAGUUUGGGUGUUAAAUCUACCGGCUUCAACUGGUAGUCGCACUCAAAACUGCUACUCUUGAGUGAAAUAGAAGGCAAGCGGAAUUCCUAGUGUAGCGGUGAAAUGCUUAUAUAUUUGGAAAAACACCAGUGGCCGAAGGUUGCCGCCUGGCCUGUUGCUGACUCUAAGGCACCAAUACGUGGGGAGCAAAUAGGAUUAGAUACCCUAGUAGUUCACGCCGUAAACGAUGAGGACCAAGUGUUGGGGGUGAAACCUCAGUGCUGAAGUUAACGCAGUGAGUCCUCCGCCUGGGGAGUAUGCACGCAAGUGUGAAACUCAAAGGAAUUGACGGGGGCCCGCACAAGCGGUGGAGUAUGUGGUUUAAUUCGAAGCAACGCGAAGAACCUUACCAGGCCUUGACAUGGGAUGCGAAGAUGCAGAGAUGCAUCGGAGGUCAACAUCCACACAGGUGGUGCAUGGUUGUCGUCAGCUCGUGUCGUGAGAUGUUGGGUCAAGUCCCGCAACGAGCGCAACCCUUGUGGCAUGUUGCUAACAGGAAAAGCUGAGGACUCAUGCCAGACUGCCGGUGACAAACCGGAGGAAGGCGGGAAUGACGUCAAAUCAUCAUGCCCCUUAUGGCCUGGGCUACACACGUAUUACAAUGGCGGCUACAAAGAGCAGCGAGACAGGGAUGUCGAGCGAAUCUCAUAAAAGCCGUCCCAGUUCGGAUUGGAGGCUGCAACCCGCCUCCAUGAAGUUGGAAUCGCUGAGUAAUCGUCGGAUCAGCAUGCCGCGGUGAAUACGUUACCGGGCCUUGUACUCACCGCCCGUCA
This 1403-nucleotide ribosomal RNA is filed under the name uncultured bacterium. RNAcentral describes it as "bacterial SSU rRNA". It matches the Rfam family "Bacterial small subunit ribosomal RNA". The record is from RNAcentral.